This 62-nucleotide small nuclear RNA is filed under the name Dasypus novemcinctus (nine-banded armadillo). Its description in RNAcentral is "U7 small nuclear RNA (ENSDNOG00000026581.1)". It matches the Rfam family "U7 small nuclear RNA". From Rfam's summary of the family: Animal histone pre-mRNAs are spliced by a different mechanism than nuclear pre-mRNAs and self-splicing introns. This processing involves the U7 snRNP, which contains only one RNA species: U7. The 5' end of U7 RNA is thought to base-pair to a conserved spacer element downstream of the cleavage site in histone pre-mRNA. The record is from RNAcentral. Lineage: Eukaryota; Metazoa; Chordata; Mammalia; Cingulata; Dasypodidae.
AAGUGUUAUGACUCUGUUAGAAUUUGUCUGGUAGGUCUUCUGGCUUUAGCUGGAAGACUCUA